UAUAUGUCUGUGUGCAUGUGAGACAAAGUCACAAAUAUUGUGCUUACAUAAAUAGGGUGUCAGGCUUCUGAUCAAAUUAUCUUAUUUUUUCUUUAAGGGAUAAUCUCUCCGAUUGAUGAAUACUCAGUGUAUAAUAAUUAUCAAACUGCCACAGUAAGGUGGUUAUGGAUUUUGUAUUUGCCCAUGUUUAAUGAGCUUUACAACACUUCCAUCAGAGAACAUUACAAUAAAUCAUGCCAUUCACACAAGUUCUUACACGGAUUUAAUUGCAUCUUUGAAAGGUUUGGCAGAUACAUCAAGCCAGUUCAUUAAUGCACAGAUGAUUUCUUCACAUUAAGAAAGACACGUUGGAGCACCAUAAAUGUCAAGGCAGUUAUUACGCACAAAAAGCAUAAAAUGGCAACCAUCAAAAGGUGAGCCCUUAUUCAGUUGAGAUCAAAAAUAAAACUGCAGUAAUUCCUUUGUGUAAUAAUGGAGAAAUAUUAGAUUAUUUUAAGG
RNAcentral lists this long non-coding RNA (498 nucleotides) under Gorilla gorilla gorilla (western lowland gorilla). RNAcentral describes it as "lncRNA (ENSGGOG00000044600.1)". The record is from RNAcentral. Lineage: Eukaryota; Metazoa; Chordata; Mammalia; Primates; Hominidae.